Molecule: long non-coding RNA, 1906 nt
Filed under: Anas platyrhynchos platyrhynchos (common mallard)
Lineage: Eukaryota; Metazoa; Chordata; Aves; Anseriformes; Anatidae
Description: lncRNA (ENSAPLG00000029460.1)
Source: RNAcentral
AUGUUCCGUCAGCGUGACCUGCUUCUAAAUUUACUCACCUUGUGCAGCCACGUGCUGGGGCGUCCGCGCGAGUCGCAGCGGCUGGAAAUAGCUCCCGGGCAUGUGACGGCCGGAGCCGGGAGCUGGUGCUCCCUGCAAAGUCAUGGGACAUCUUCUUCCGCAACGCCAACGCCGGAGCUGCUCCAGGCACCGCUUACCAAAGCCCCCCCCCCCACUGAGCACCAGCCUUUCUGCACUGUCACAAGCACAGUUCCUGGUUCAAGCACAGCCCAACGUAGACAAACUGGUGGAAGACCACCUCGCAGUGCAAUCUCUCAUCAGGGCAUACCAGUGGGAGAAGGCUGCGGCGCCACCGGACUGAAGCUCAGACCAACGCUGCCAAAAUCAACGUCUCGGGAGAAGCAAGUUCUGAGCAGAAAGGAAACAUCCGCUGGCUGAAGGAGCAGCGUGUGCACAAAUGCCAUGGCCAGUGUUUUACUCGGGAGGGCGCGGAGCUGUGUCUCUCUGCCUGUCGUUCUUUCACCUUUGGUUGCAGCCUGGUUUGCCCAGAGUGAGCUUCGCUGGGGACUGCGGUGGGAAGUUCCCAAACCCAGCCACAGUGGAGGUGACCUUAGCUCUGCCAUGCCCCGUGUCACCUGCUGCUGUAAAGAAGCACUCGCUGCAGGUCAGGAUCCUGCUCAGGUAUCGGAAAAACCCAAGGUACUGGGCCACAGGUUAAGUCCAAAGGUCUGCCCAGCCUGCGCCCUGAUGGUCCAAAGAAAGUGCCCCAGCCCGGCUCUCCUCCGCACCCAAGUCCUGCUGGGGCAUUGCUCUGCUUUUCUUGGGCACGGUGCAGCCAGGGCUUGUUUGUGAGCACCUGCACCGUGCCUUCUGGCCGGGAUUGUGGGAGGUGACUGCCCUGCUGGCUUUGAACCCCAGGCGAGUGGUUUCUAAGCGCCGUGCGUCGCCUGCUGGCUCAGCAAGCAGGUGGCUGCUGCGAUAAAUCAAGCAGUGCACGGUGUGGGCUGGAGGCAGCGACUUCCGACCAGCAAUUUGAACCCCAAAUCCUCAAUCUCUUCUGCAUUCCCUCCGCUCCUCAGUCUCUGAAAUGGCGGUGCUGGGAGGUGGUUGCUCUUGGCCUUUUUUUUUCUAACCCUUGUUGAGGAAUGUGCCUCCGGUUCUGCACCGGUGCCACUGCACGGCUGCAGCCAUCGUGGCCGUGAGCUGCCGUGGUUGCUCUGGAGGGGGAGUUGAGCGUGGUGUGGGGAGGUAGGCGAGGGCAGAAGGCCCUGCCGGUGCUGUGUCACCUCCUGAAACACCAGGCAGUUAAUUUCUGAAACCGGAUCGAGCUGGAGUGUCCGUGCAGUUAGAGGUGAGCCGUGCCCCUGCUCUGCCGUAGCUCGUGGUAGCACCAGCGCUGGCUUGUUCCUUAAUUGUAGCCGUGCUUACGUGUCCAAUUCAUCAUUUCCUUUGAAAUAACUGGUGUGGUCUUGUUCCGAGCUGGGGAAAACAAUCUGCCUUUGUGUCCCUGUCACGAGGGCGGCCGUGCCACCCACCUGGCGGGACCUCCGCCGCUGGCUGCUCCCACGGCUGCCGACGAAGCUCCGUGUGGCAGCGCCCUGAAAAAAAUGAAAAAAAGCGUGGCUCCUGCUGGGAAAAGGCCUCUUCCUCGUUCCCACAAGAAUUUGGGGGUUCGCUGCGUCCUGCUGAGCAGAUCUCUGGACUGGUCACCGAAUGCUCCUUGCCUCGCCCCUGCUCACCAGCCCUGCUCCCAGCCAGGGCACCCAGCCCCAGGCGUCUGCCCCAUGGACGUGGGAGCAGCACAGUGAGCUCGUGUCCUGCCCCUAAGCCUCGGGAUAGUCCUCAUGCUCUGCUGCAAGUCAGAUGAGCAAAUAAACGCAUCUGGGACAAAGGGGGCCCCCGAGCA